AAACUUGUAAUAAUCCUGUUUCCCAAGUUUAUCAGGAAGAGAGCCUAUGAGAGAGGCAACAUUCAGCCCUAUUGGAACUCUCAGUCCCAGAGGGGUGUUUUGCAGCUUUCCUGUCUGCCAUAGGACUUCAGCUGUGACACCAGAGGAAAGUUCCUUGCGACGUUCACAGUUCCCUGGCCAGCGUGAGCCAUGACAGGGAGUUCUACAUGCAUAUACCACUUCCUUGUUAUGAGCUGGUAUAUUUUCCUCAAUUAUGACAUCCCUGUACUAGGAGAGGAUCCGCAGAACUCUGAAAUCUUUCUUAAUGGCGGACCAUGGAAGUACUUGACAUUUAUUAAUAUGCUCCUGCAGGUCAUUUUCUAUGGGGUCGCUUGCCUGGAAGAUGUGCUGAAGAGAAUUGAAA
Non-coding RNA from Manis javanica (Malayan pangolin), 403 nucleotides. The record is from RefSeq and is a predicted model, not a curated record. NCBI's taxonomy places the organism in Eukaryota, Metazoa, Chordata, Mammalia, Pholidota, Manidae.